UACAGAGGGUGCAAGCGUUAAUCGGAAUUACUGGGCGUAAAGCGCGCGUAGGUGGUUUGUUAAGUUGGAUGUGAAAUCCCCGGGCUCAACCUGGGAACUGCAUUCAAAACUGACAAGCUAGAGUAUGGUAGAGGGUGGUGGAAUUUCCUGUGUAGCGGUGAAAUGCGUAGAUAUAGGAAGGAACACCAGUGGCGAAGGCGACCACCUGGACUGAUACUGACACUGAGGUGCGAAAGCGUGGGGAGCAAGCAGG
This 253-nucleotide ribosomal RNA is filed under the name uncultured bacterium. RNAcentral's name for it is "partial 16S ribosomal RNA". It matches the Rfam family "Bacterial small subunit ribosomal RNA", at positions 524 to 776 of the family's 1533-position model. The record is from RNAcentral.